UUAGACAGCCAAUCACGUUGGGAGUGGGAGUGGCCCAGGCCUUCAGAAAUAUAUAUAAGCAGCUGCUUUGCCCCUGUUGUCCAGUUCUGUUAGUUCAAUAAAGGUUCUUGCUGUUAUCACUGUGUCUUGCCUCGUGGGAACCCACCUAAACUUCAGUGUCAACUGCAAUAAUGAUAGUGACAAUAUGUACUAUUCUUAAUUUUCUGCCUUUCCUUCUAGGAAUCCAUGGUGGUGUAUAUGGUUCUCAUUUUCCUUAAUUGAUCCUCACCAGCCCCCUGCAAGGUAGGUUAGCCUGAGAAACAGACACUGCUCCAAGGUCACCAGUGAUCUUCAUGACUAAAUGGGGAUUGGAAUCCUGGUCUCUCGGGCCCUAAUCCAACACUCAUGGCAUUACAAUACACAGGCUGCAUAUCUGAAGGGCUGUCAGCAUGAUGAAAUCCUGCAUUGUCAGAUCCUUAUCUUGAAGUCUUGCUUAAUAAUAAAUAACCAAAAGCAGGGAGAGUAGAGGCCCUGAAAUUACCUAUCAACAGCAGGCUGAGAAGCCACGUGAGUCACCUGGUCAGAGUUCCCCCCUCCCGCAUGGUGAAAUGUAUUUCUAUUUAAAUUGCACCAUUUAUUGCUAAAUUAGCAUCUUUAUCCAUGCAUAUAAAUUAUCUUAUCAUAGAAUUGCAGAGUUGGAAGGGUCAUUUAGUCCAACACCAUGUGAUGCAGGAAUCUUUUGCCCAAUGUGGGGCUCAAACCCACGACCCUGAGAUUAAGAUUCUCAUGCUCUACCAACUGAACUAUCGUCUUAUGCAAGUCUAUAUCCUCUCCAUGGUGAUACUCAAGUGGCCACCUUAUCUCCAGCAGAACUGAAAAAUGCUAAACUCCACCCCUGGCUCCACAUUGUUUAUCCACUCUGUGCUCCCACCCUCAGGCCCAGAGGAAUCCACCUCCAAGUUGUGCCCACAUAACAGAUUUCCACCCCAUUUAAAUAGCUUUCAAUGCUACAUGAACCCAACAGCAAAGGGGCAACACGUUACCAUGAUAAGUAGCAAGAGACAUUUCGAUGAGGAAAGAUUUGCUGCAGUUCCAAAGUUCCCAACGCAUUUCAAGCAGAUGGCUCUUCUUUGGGGGAAAUUACUCAUUAAAAUAGCUGCUGAAAAUAACUUAUUCCAUGUGCAGAAAGAGUGCUUGAUUCCACUAUCAACAAUGGCAGGAUUCCCCAAAGGUUCGCACUCAUGGCCAAGCUUACUUGUAUAUUAGCAAGCGAAGCUGAGCUAAUUGCCAGAGUAGAAUGGAAAGCACACAUACCACCUUGUUAUUAUUCACGCCUGUCGUUCGUUCUGAUAUAGGUGAAUUACAUUUUCCUAGGAGCCUGCAGUCAAGUUCUUGAUAACGCAGCAGCAAAGCCUCUGGAAAUUUCUGGCUCACGUAUACUGUUACGAACUUCAGCUUAAAAGCCACCAGGUAGACUAUGGCUGAGUCAGGUCUGCACCUUUGAGAUUUUAUGUUGCAGUACAGCCUUCUGGAACCUCUUCCCCUUCCCCAUGCUUGAAACCCUGAUUUGAUCAUCCCCAGGAACCGCAUAGACAAGUGGUCAGGAUGACGAGUGUUGUAGUCCAAAAUAUCUGGUGGGCAUCAAGUUGAGGAAGGCUGCAAUAGAACAAUGGCUAAGAGUAGGUCUGUUCAAUCUAUAUUUUAUGUCCUACAGAGCAAAAGGCUGCUUGGGGAAGUGGGGCAGUACUGGGUAAAAAGGGGGGGUGGAAGGGAAGUCUUAAGCAUAUUUCCCCCAUUUCUGUAUGAGUCAGGUCUGACACUCUGCUUUUAUUUUGUUAAACUAAGGUAAAGGUAUCCCUGACUGUUAGGUCCAGUCAUGGACGACUCGGGUUGCGUGCUCAUCUCGCUCUAUAGGCCAAGGGAGCCGGUGUUUGUCUGCAGACAGCUUCCGGGUCAUGUGGCCAGCAUGACUGUUAUGUACUGAAGAUCCGCGCUAUCCAGCAGGCCCCCAUCCCAAAGAACAAGACAGAGUUGCAGGCGUUCCUGGGCUGCUGAACUUUUAUAACAUGUUCCUGC
RNAcentral lists this long non-coding RNA (2055 nucleotides) under Podarcis lilfordi (Lilford's wall lizard). Lineage: Eukaryota; Metazoa; Chordata; Lepidosauria; Squamata; Lacertidae. The record is from RNAcentral.